GAACCUUGCACAGUCCAGUCCUUCCUGCCAAACAAAAGAGAAAGGAAAUCAGAAAUUAGAUUAUCGCUGCCAAAUUCCAAACAAGAAAUCAAUUCAAAUGCACGCAAGUAAUAUUGCCAAAGCAUAAACAAUCAUCAAACAGAAAAAUCAAUGGCAUUCCAUCACAUAGAUCAGCUAAAGCAUCAACAUAAAAUCUUGAAGACAGCAAGCUCAGAACUUUCAAAAAUACAAUCCUUUUUUGAAAGGAAAAGGAAAACAUUCUGUACUCAAUAUGUAAGAAACGUAUUCUUGACCAGAAAUAAUUCAGUAAACAUGUGCUUACCAUGCGGAUGAUAUUUAGCCAUUGGAUCAAUUGAAAGACACUAUUUCCAAUGGGUUGAAAAUUCAAGUGCACAGUAAGCACAUGCACACCAAAUCAUUAUCCUUUCUCAACUUCAGUAAAUCAUGACAAGAUUUUACUGAUUGCAGCCACCUCUAAGGUUUUCAGCAAGUCAAAUAGUCGACUACUGGCAUUUAUCUCACCAUGUUUUCAUGUGACAUUCACACACUACAUUUGAAUGCUUGGGCAACAAAAGAUCCAAGUGUCAAAAUUGAAAUAAUUCACAAUUAUAGGUGCAUUUCAUAACUUCAUGAUUAUACAGUUCACACCCAACUCUCCUAUCUUCUAUCUUAAAUAAAUUUGACCAAUAAGAGACCUUUAGUCAACAUCGUAAUGGCCAAUGCCCUAUAGAUUUAGAUCAUUUAGCAAAUGAAACCAAAUUUUUAUCAAGCAAAUAAAAAUUAUUUUGAUUGUACUAAUGUUGAGAAGCCCCAACUAGUUUGAGAUCAAGGCUUAGUUCUUGUUGUAUAACUGUUGAGAAUCACAGCAAGAGUAGAUUGUAAGGUAUACAAAAAGGAAAAGGAAAGAGUAUCUACAUGUCCAGGAAAACAGCAAUCAGGCAGAUCCCUUUAUGAAUACCCACUCUAAAGGUAACUUUAGUCACAAUAACUGUAGUUAUACAUAAACAAGGGCAUGGGCAUGUGCAUGUCAAGUGAUGACCUGCCAGACUCGGUGAGGUCAAACCUGCAUGCACUGGCUGAAAAUUCAACUUGAAACACUAGUUCAAGGUUGGGCUGAAAGUUCCACUCCUACUACAAUCCAGGAGAACAAAGGCUACAGAAAAUAUGUGUGCAUUACAAAACCAUUGAAUGUGGCAGGUAAAAGACUUUUGGCAAGAAGAGAACCAUUGACGAUAUGAUAUGAAAUGAAAGUGCAAGGAUAUAAGCAUGGAUGGACUUUUUUUUUUCAAAGGGAUUGACACGAUGAAGAGAACAAGUUGAUUAGUUAGAAGUUUGCAAGAGAAUUUCAUGAACUUGGGAAGAAAUGAGGCUAAGUGUACGGACAUACAUUUGAGUCAGACAACACUAGGGUAUCCAAAGAAUUGCCAGCAAAUGAUUAUUAUUACAAUAAUUAUCUCUUAUCUUUCAUUCUUCAGAAUUUCAGAAAUGCCGUAAUGCAUCAAGCAGGUACAAUAUUCCCACCCAUCUAAUUAAAGUUAUCUAAAUGGAUCUUUGAUCCAACUCUAAAUCAAUGACAAAAAUCAGAUGAAAAUUUUCUAAUUUUGUCCCAUGUGCAAAACCAAUAUUCCAGGUAAGAAACUUGAUAUAAGAGAGGUUCAUAGGAAGAUGCACUCACAUGGACCAACAAUUAGCUGGAGA
RNAcentral lists this unclassified non-coding RNA (1698 nucleotides) under Hevea brasiliensis (rubber tree). The record is from RNAcentral. Lineage: Eukaryota; Viridiplantae; Streptophyta; Magnoliopsida; Malpighiales; Euphorbiaceae.